This 68-nucleotide transfer RNA is filed under the name Tullbergia bisetosa. RNAcentral describes it as "tRNA-Trp". Lineage: Eukaryota; Metazoa; Arthropoda; Collembola; Poduromorpha; Tullbergiidae. The record is from RNAcentral.
AAAAUCUUAAGUAUAUAAAACUAGGGGCCUUCAAAGCUCAAAUAAAGAGUUUACCCUCUUAGGUUUUA